Molecule: ribosomal RNA, 253 nt
Filed under: uncultured bacterium
Lineage: Bacteria
Description: partial 16S ribosomal RNA
Rfam family: Bacterial small subunit ribosomal RNA
Source: RNAcentral
UACGUAGGGGGCUAGCGUUGUCCGGAAUCAUUGGGCGUAAAGGGCGCGUAGGCGGCGUGACAAGUCACUUGUGAAAUCUCCGGGCUUAACUCGGAGCGGCCAAGUGAUACUGUCGGACUAGAGUACAGAAGGGGCAACUGGAAUUCUCGGUGUAGCGGUGAAAUGCGUAGAUAUCGAGAGGAACACCUGCGGCGAAGGCGGGUUGCUGGGCUGAUACUGACGCUGAGGCGCGAAAGCCAGGGGAGCGAACGGG